RNAcentral lists this ribosomal RNA (484 nucleotides) under uncultured bacterium. Its description in RNAcentral is "partial 16S ribosomal RNA". It matches the Rfam family "Bacterial small subunit ribosomal RNA", at positions 30 to 507 of the family's 1533-position model. The record is from RNAcentral.
AUUGAACGCUGGCGGAAUGCUUUACACAUGCAAGUCGAACGGCAGCACGGGGGCAGUCCUGGUGGCGAGUGGCGAACGGGCGAGUAAUACAUCGGAACGUGCCCGGUCGUGGGGGAUAACGUAGCGAAAGUUACGCUAAUACCGCAUACGAUCUGAGGAUGAAAGCGGGGGACCUUCGGGCCUCGCGCGAUCGGAGCGGCCGAUGUCAGAUUAGGUAGUUGGUGGGGUAAAGGCCUACCAAGCCGACGAUCUGUAGCUGGUCUGAGAGGACGACCAGCCACACUGGGACUGAGACACGGCCCAGACUCCUACGGGAGGCAGCAGUGGGGAAUUUUGGACAAUGGGCGCAAGCCUGAUCCAGCCAUUCCGCGUGCAGGACGAAGGCCUUCGGGUUGUAAACUGCUUUUGUACGGAACGAAAAGGCUCUGGCUAAUACCUGGGGCUCAUGACGGUACCGUAAGAAUAAGCACCGGCUAACUACGUG